RNAcentral lists this ribosomal RNA (696 nucleotides) under uncultured bacterium. RNAcentral describes it as "bacterial SSU rRNA". It matches the Rfam family "Bacterial small subunit ribosomal RNA", at positions 32 to 715 of the family's 1533-position model. The record is from RNAcentral.
AACGCUAGCUACAGGCUUAACACAUGCAAGUCGAGGGGAAACGAUAUUGGAAGCUUGCUUCCGAUAGGCGUCGACCGGCGCACGGGUGAGUAACGCGUAUCCAACCUGCCCAUCACUUGGGGAUAACCUUGCGAAAGUAAGACUAAUACCCAAUGAUAUCUCUAGAAGACAUCUGAAAGGGAUUAAAGAUUUAUCGGUGAUGGAUGGGGAUGCGUCUGAUUAGCGUGUUGGCGGGGUAACGGCCCACCAAGGCUACGAUCAGUAGGGGUUCUGAGAGGAAGGUCCCCCACAUUGGAACUGAGACACGGUCCAAACUCCUACGGGAGGCAGCAGUGAGGAAUAUUGGUCAAUGGGCGAGAGCCUGAACCAGCCAAGUAGCGUGCAGGAUGACGGCCCUAUGGGUUGUAAACUGCUUUUAUAAGGGAAUAAAGUGAGUCUCGUGAGACUUUUUGCAUGUACCUUAUGAAUAAGGACCGGCUAAUUCCGUGCCAGCAGCCGCGGUAAUACGGAAGGUCCGGGCGUUAUCCGGAUUUAUUGGGUUUAAAGGGAGCGUAGGCCGGAGAUUAAGCGUGUUGUGAAAUGUAGACGCUCAACGUCUGCACUGCAGCGCGAACUGGUUUCCUUGAGUACGCACAAAGUGGGCGGAAUUCGUGGUGUAGCGGUGAAAUGCUUAGAUAUCACGAAGAACUCCGAUUG